GAGAGGCCAAUACCAACACGAUAUACCUCUUCUAUACACACCAAAAAGAAAAACUAUCCCAAAAACGUCUUCGGUCUUCAUUCAUUACUGCUGCGAUAGUGCUGUUGUGAAGUUUACAUUUGUUUUUUGGUAAAAAAAUUUAAUAAGAAGAUGGGCAAAGGGAAAGGUGGCGGUGGCGGUGGUGAUAAAGGUGGAAAAGGUGGAAAGGCUGCUCCUGCUGCAGCUGCUGCAACACCAGCAGCGGGUGCAACGAAACCAGCCGAUAGUAAAGGAGGCAAGAAAGGUGGCAAAAAAUAAUUGUAAGACAACUGGGACUGACUGCGACUGUGAGGAUCGCACAAGAAAUCUAUAAAUAAUAAAGAAUCACCAGCACCACCGAACGUAUUAUAUUGCCGAUACUUAUCAUAAGAAAUGUUUUAUUUAAAAAGAAAAAUGACCUUGACGAAGGUGACGCUACUUUCUAUAUACAAAAUCGAACUGAGAUGUGAACCAAUAUGAUGUCAUUACGUGUGCACACAACUUCAAAAACAAAAUGUAUUUUCGUAUUUUCCACAUAAGCCAAACACGCGUAAAACUCACACAACCAUCUCAUUUGUACAUAAAACGAUUUUCGGAUGGCAUUUCAAAAUAAACAAAGCCAAAAAAUCUCACAGUUUUCCGGUUGCUCAAUUUU
Long non-coding RNA from Bradysia coprophila, 673 nucleotides. RefSeq lists it as uncharacterized. NCBI's taxonomy places the organism in Eukaryota, Metazoa, Arthropoda, Insecta, Diptera, Sciaridae. The record is from RefSeq and is a predicted model, not a curated record.